UACGGAAGGCAGCAGUGGGGAAUAUUGCACAAUGGGCGCAAGCCUGAUGCAGCCAUGCCGCGUGUAUGAAGAAGGCCUUCGGGUUGUAAAGUACUUUCAGUCGUGAGGAAGGUGUUAAGGUUAAUAACCUUAGCAAUUGACGUUAGCGACAGAAGAAGCACCGGCUAACUCCGUGCCAGCAGCCGCGGUAAUACGGAGGGUGCGAGCGUUAAUCGGAGUUACUGGGCGUAAAGGGCACGCAGGCGGUUAAUUAAGUUGGAUGUGAAAUCCCCGGGCUUAACCUGGGAAUGGCAUUCAAGACUGGUUAGCUAGAGUCUUGUAGAGGGGGUAGAAUUCCAUGUGUAGCGGUGAAAUGCGUAGAGAUGUGGAGGAAUACCGGUGGCGAAGGCGGCCCCUGGACAAAGACUGACGCUCAUGUGCGAAAGCGUGGGGAGCAAAC
This 439-nucleotide ribosomal RNA is filed under the name uncultured bacterium. Its description in RNAcentral is "bacterial SSU rRNA". It matches the Rfam family "Bacterial small subunit ribosomal RNA", at positions 340 to 773 of the family's 1533-position model. The record is from RNAcentral.